RNAcentral lists this ribosomal RNA (253 nucleotides) under uncultured bacterium. Its description in RNAcentral is "partial 16S ribosomal RNA". It matches the Rfam family "Bacterial small subunit ribosomal RNA", at positions 524 to 776 of the family's 1533-position model. The record is from RNAcentral.
UACGGAGGGUGCAAGCGUUAAUCGGAAUUACUGGGCGUAAAGCGUGCGUAGGCGGUUCGUUAAGUCUGUUGUGAAAGCCCCGGGCUCAACCUGGGAAUGGCAAUGGAUACUGGCGAGCUAGAGUGUGUCAGAGGAUGGUGGAAUUCCCGGUGUAGCGGUGAAAUGCGUAGAUAUUGGGAGGAACACCAGUGGCGAAGGCGGCUCACUGGACCGGUACUGACGCUGAUGCGCGAAAGCGUGGGGAGCAAACGGG